RNA transcript from Pimephales promelas (fathead minnow), 579 nucleotides. RefSeq lists it as uncharacterized. NCBI's taxonomy places the organism in Eukaryota, Metazoa, Chordata, Actinopteri, Cypriniformes, Leuciscidae. The record is from RefSeq and is a predicted model, not a curated record.
GUAUUAAUUUCGACAAGAGUGAUGGAUCCAUUUUGAUGCAUGAAGCUGUAAAUUACCCAUGUAAUCUAGCACUUGUGUAAUGGUAAUGCAUUAGCAUACCACACCUCUAAUAUUAUAAAGAGUCUUGACAUGUUCAAGUUCAGGUUCAAGUUAGUUUAUUUCUAUUAAACUAACUUGAACUUGUGUUCUAUGGGUUUGCAUGCAUUUACAUUACUACGUAAUAACACAUUUACUAAGGGACAGUACUACAGGGUUUUAAAAUGACAUUACAUUUUUCUGUGUUAGGGAGGCGUAAACCACCAGCAACACUCUUAAAACCAGUCCGGCCUGAUGAAUAUAGUGCUACUGCAUCUCCACAUCCAGUGAGGGUUCCUUUGCCAGUACCUCCAGAGUUGCUUGAAUUGGGGUUAUCGACAAGCAAGACCACAUCGCCUUUGAGACCAGUGCAGGAAACCAUGCUUUGUCAAUUGACCUCUACACAGUCUAUAGCCUCUACUCCUCCCUCAGGCCCCCUUGCAGCUGCUGUCCAGUCAGGACUCCUUGCAGCCUCUACUCCACCCACAGCACUCCCUGCAGCCU